CAGUCGCCACGGGAAUACGAACCGUCCGAACGUUAUUCGGAAUUACUGGGCUUAAAGCGCGUGUAGGCGGAUCGGCACGUCCGACACUGAAAUCCCCCGGCUUAACCGGGGAACGGGUCCGGAUACGACCGGUCUGGAGGGAGGUAGGGGGGUCUGGAACUUCGGGUGGAGCGGUGAAAUGCGUUGAGAUCCGAAGGAACGCCCGUGGCGAAAGCGAGACCCUGGACCUUUUCUGACGCUGAGACGCGAAAGCCAGGGGAGCGAACGGGAUUAGAUACCCCCGUAGUCCCUGUCUCUUAUA
RNAcentral lists this ribosomal RNA (301 nucleotides) under uncultured bacterium. RNAcentral describes it as "partial 16S ribosomal RNA". It matches the Rfam family "Bacterial small subunit ribosomal RNA", at positions 509 to 807 of the family's 1533-position model. The record is from RNAcentral.